GGCUGUUUGGUCUAGAGGUAUGAUUCUCCGUUUGGGUCGGAGAGGUCCCGGGUUCGAACCCCGGAACAGCCC
Molecule: transfer RNA, 72 nt
Filed under: Maritimibacter sp.
Lineage: Bacteria; Pseudomonadati; Pseudomonadota; Alphaproteobacteria; Rhodobacterales; Roseobacteraceae
Description: tRNA-Pro
Rfam family: tRNA
About the family: Transfer RNA (tRNA) molecules are approximately 80 nucleotides in length. Their secondary structure includes four short double-helical elements and three loops (D, anti-codon, and T loops).
Source: RNAcentral